RNAcentral lists this ribosomal RNA (245 nucleotides) under uncultured microorganism. RNAcentral's name for it is "partial 16S ribosomal RNA". It matches the Rfam family "Bacterial small subunit ribosomal RNA", at positions 346 to 580 of the family's 1533-position model. The record is from RNAcentral.
GCGCAGCAGUCGAGAAUCUUCCACAAUGGGGAAACCCGUGAUGGAGCGACGCCGCGUGCGGGAUGAAGGCCCUAUGGGUUGUAAACCGCUGUUCAGUGGAAAGAACAUCCUCCGGCUGAAUAGGUCGGAGGCCUGACGUUACCACUGCAGAAAGUCCCGGCCAACUCCGUGCCAGCAGCCGCGGUAAUACGGGGGGACGGAGCGUUGUCCGGAAUACAUUGGGCGGUAAAGGGACGGCCGUAGGC